CGGUUCUCCUCUUCCUCUUUCAGUCCAUAACGCUUUUAAGAGUAAGCCUGCAGUCUGCCUUCCGACGUCUCCUGCUCCGCUCCGCUCCGCUCUGCUCUGCCUUGGGCAGAAGGAAGGCAGAAUGAGCCAGACGCUGACAAAUGGGACGCCUGCAAGCAUGCUGAUGUGUCCUGUCUGUACACCUCUCCCAUGUAUGUGAAAGGGAGAGCAAAGAGGCUCUUGCAGCAAAGUCAAGCGAGGGAGGCCUCGGUCAGCUGCAAGCAUGCAUGGCUGAUGUCCUGACAAACAAAACAAUGUCAUUUCUGCCAAGUGGGUGUCAACCAGAUCGCAUACAAAACCCUUUUUUUUCCUAUUGUGUUAUGAUUGUUUUUUUAGUGGUGAGUUUCUCUCAAGCUGGCUUUAUUUGAUCUAAAUUCACUUCUGUGCCAUUAUCGGAUACAAUCCAGUGAGAACAACCGUAGCUUCAGAGAAAAUGAUAAACACAAUCAAUGCUUGGUGAGGUAUUGAUUCAAGUGAAGUGUCUAUUUUGAGGUGAUGCAUUGUGCUUUCUA
Molecule: long non-coding RNA, 551 nt
Organism: Syngnathus acus (greater pipefish)
Lineage: Eukaryota; Metazoa; Chordata; Actinopteri; Syngnathiformes; Syngnathidae
Exons: 2
Source: RefSeq, a predicted model, not a curated record